RNAcentral lists this ribosomal RNA (1127 nucleotides) under Salmonella enterica subsp. enterica serovar Enteritidis. RNAcentral describes it as "partial 23S ribosomal RNA". It matches the Rfam family "Bacterial large subunit ribosomal RNA", at positions 61 to 1230 of the family's 2925-position model. The record is from RNAcentral. Lineage: Bacteria; Pseudomonadati; Pseudomonadota; Gammaproteobacteria; Enterobacterales; Enterobacteriaceae.
CUAAUCUGCGAUAAGCGCCGGUAAGGUGAUAUGAACCGUUAUAACCGGCGAUACCCGAAUGGGGAAACCCAGUGUGACUCGUCACACUAUCAUUAACUGAAUCCAUAGGUUAAUGAGGCGAACCGGGGGAACUGAAACAUCUAAGUACCCCGAGGAAAAGAAAUCAACCGAGAUUCCCCCAGUAGCGGCGAGCGAACGGGGAGGAGCCCAGAGCCUGAAUCAGCAUGUGUGUUAGUGGAAGCGUCUGGAAAGGCGCGCGAUACAGGGUGACAGCCCCGUACACAAAAGCGCAUGUGCUGUGAGCUCGAUGAGUAGGGCGGGACACGUGGUAUCCUGUCUGAAUAUGGGGGGACCAUCCUCCAAGGCUAAAUACUCCUGACUGACCGAUAGUGAACCAGUACCGUGAGGGAAAGGCGAAAAGAACCCCGGCGAGGGGAGUGAAAAAGAACCUGAAACCGUGUACGUACAAGCAGUGGGAGCACCCUUUGGGUGUGACUGCGUACCUUUUGUAUAAUGGGUCAGCGACUUAUAUUCUGUAGCAAGGUUAACCGAAUAGGGGAGCCGGAGGGAAACCGAGUCUUAAUUGGGCGUUAAGUUGCAGGGUAUAGACCCGAAACCCGGUGAUCUAGCCAUGGGCAGGUUGAAGGUUGGGUAACACUAACUGGAGGACCGAACCGACUAAUGUUGAAAAAUUAGCGGAUGACCUGUGGCUGGGGGUGAAAGGCCAAUCAAACCGGGAGAUAGCUGGUUCUCCCCGAAAGCUAUUUAGGUAGCGCCUCGUGAAUUCAUCUCCGGGGGUAGAGCACUGUUUCGGCUAGGGGGCCAUCCCGGCUUACCAACCCGAUGCAAACUGCGAAUACCGGAGAAUGUUAUCACGGGAGACACACGGCGGGUGCUAACGUCCGUCGUGAAGAGGGAAACAACCCAGACCGCCAGCUAAGGUCCCAAAGUCAUGGUUAAGUGGGAAACGAUGUGGGAAGGCCCAGACAGCCAGGAUGUUGGCUUAGAAGCAGCCAUCAUUUAAAGAAAGCGUAAUAGCUCACUGGUCGAGUCGGCCUGCGCGGAAGAUGUAACGGGGCUAAACCAUGCACCGAAGCUGCGGCAGCGACACUGUGUGUUGUUGGGUA